Molecule: ribosomal RNA, 292 nt
Filed under: uncultured bacterium
Lineage: Bacteria
Description: partial 16S ribosomal RNA
Rfam family: Bacterial small subunit ribosomal RNA
Source: RNAcentral
GUGGAUUAGAUACCCUAGUAGUCCUAGCUGUAAACGGUGCAUGUUUGCUGUAAAAGGAAUCGACCCCUUUUGUGGCGUAGCCAACGCGUUAAACAUGCCGCCUGGGAAGUACGGUCGCAAGAUUAAAACUCAAAGAAAUUGACGGGGGCCUGCACAAGCGGUGGAGUAUGUGGCUCAAUUCGAUGCAACGCGAAGAACCUUACCUGGCCUUGACAUGUAUGUAGUAGAAGGGUGAAAGCCUGACGAGGUAGCAAUACCAGCAUACACAGGUGCUGCACGGCUGUCGUCAGCU